This 117-nucleotide ribosomal RNA is filed under the name Peptacetobacter hominis. Lineage: Bacteria; Bacillati; Bacillota; Clostridia; Peptostreptococcales; Peptostreptococcaceae. The record is from RNAcentral.
UCUGGUUACUAUAGCAGAGAGGAUACACCUGUUCCCAUUCCGAACACAGAAGUUAAGCUCUCUAGCGCUGAUGGUACUUGGGGCGAAGGCCCCCGGGAGAGUAGGUCGUAGCCAGGU